UUGUUCCUUUUUCCUAUGCAUAUACUUCUUUGAGAAUUGCUUCUGAAGAGGUAUAGGGCAUGGGAAAAUGGGGCAAUUGAGGUACUUCACCACUCAUUUCAAACAGCUGUAGAAAUGUAUAGCGAAAACAGAAAUAUGAAGAAAUUACAGGUAAAUUUGUUAAACUCCCAAUUAACCAUCAAAACCUGCAUAAAAAGAUACUGGUAUUAUUUACUCUGUUGGUUUCAUCUUAAAACCUGAUUUAUUACAAGAGUAAUAUUUAAGCAUUUAUCCAACUACAUUAUAUAUACAUAAUCUCGCUUGGUUUAAUGUUCUGUCUAAAACAUAUGCAUUGCUAAGAAGUUACUCCUGUAGUCCUUAUUCCCAUAAACCUCCAUCUGAAAAUAAUGGAAAUGCAGUCUCACAAACUGCAAAAAAUGCAGCUCUGUCUCCCUGUCUCACAGGUGCUGGGAAUCAUUCUUCACUGAAUCCAGUUAGUGCUGACUCAGGUACCUUGGAAGUGGAAGUAUAGAAGCUCUCUUGGCUUUUUUCAUUCAGUAGAAAAACAGUCAUUAAACACAAUUUUUAUGUUUCUGUCCAAUUACUUUUAUUUACUCUAAAUAACAAUGUAUCAUGUCAAUUGGAGGGGAAUACUGCUACUAUGAAACAAUGUAACAGUACAUAACAUAUGUCAAAUAAAAAUCUUAUGUUUCA
Molecule: long non-coding RNA, 693 nt
Organism: Pipra filicauda (Wire-tailed manakin)
Lineage: Eukaryota; Metazoa; Chordata; Aves; Passeriformes; Pipridae
Exons: 2
Source: RefSeq, a predicted model, not a curated record